AGUGAACGCUGGCGGUAGGCCUAACACAUGCAAGUCGAACGGCAGCACCGUAAGAGCUUGCUCUUACGGGUGGCGAGUGGCGGACGGGUGAGGAAUACAUCGGAAUCUACUUUUUCGUGGGGGAUAACGUAGGGAAACUUACGCUAAUACCGCAUACGACCUACGGGUGAAAGCAGGGGAUCUUCGGACCUUGCGCGAUUGAAUGAGCCGAUGUCGGAUUGGCUAGUUGGCGGGGUAAAGGCCCACCAAGGCGACGAUCCGUAGCUGGUCUGAGAGGAUGAUCAGCCACACUGGAACUGAGACACGGUCCAGACUCCUACGGGAGGCAGCAGUGGGGAAUAUUGGACAAUGGGCGCAAGCCUGAUCCAGCCAUACCGCGUGUGUGAAGAAGGCCUUCGGGUUGUAAAGCCCUUUUGUUGGGAAAGAAAAGCAGUAGGUUAAUACCCCGCUGUUCUGACGGUACCCAAAGAAUAAGCACCGGCUAACUUCGUG
This 492-nucleotide ribosomal RNA is filed under the name uncultured bacterium. RNAcentral describes it as "partial 16S ribosomal RNA". It matches the Rfam family "Bacterial small subunit ribosomal RNA", at positions 29 to 507 of the family's 1533-position model. The record is from RNAcentral.